Molecule: ribosomal RNA, 831 nt
Filed under: Triticum aestivum (bread wheat)
Lineage: Eukaryota; Viridiplantae; Streptophyta; Magnoliopsida; Poales; Poaceae
Description: partial small subunit ribosomal RNA
Source: RNAcentral
AUGAUGAUUGAUAUAGCAAAGGAGUAUCACAGAGUGUUUGACUCUUUGGCCAUUCAAGAUAAACAAUAUACCUUCAAGCCAUCUUUUGAGGAUUGGGAAAAUUCCAAAGAUGUUUGUAGGCUACUGAAGGUAUUUUAUGAAGCCACUAAUGUGAUAUUCGGCACAAAAUAUCCAACUGCUAAUUUGUAUUUCCAUGAAAUGUGGAAAGUGAAGCUGACAUUAGAGCAACAACAUUAUGAAGAGGAUUCUGAGAUGGGUACAAUGGUCAAAUAUAUGAAGAGAAAAGUCAGAAGGUAUUGGAAGAUGACAUGGUUGAGCCUUUGUAUUCCAGUGAUUUUGGACCCACAAUUCAUGCUGAAAUAUAUUGAGUUCCGAUUUGGCCUAGAGUUUGGGAACGAAGUUGCAGCAAUGAUUGCUAAAAUAAAAAAUGUGUUCCAAGGGUUGUUCAAGGAAUACCUCCAAUUGAAUGACAAUGACUUAGAUCCCAUGUCACAAGGAGGUGAUGAUGACAUGGCUGUAAGUGGUAAAGAUCAUAUUGAUGAUUGGGGCCAACAUGUCACCCUCACUGCUCGAUCAACAAAUUUGGAUUCUACGGAACUUGAUUCAUACUUGUCAAAGGUACCCAUCCGUCGAAGUGAUCAAUUCAUUAUCCUUGCAUGGUGGCAGACAAACUCAGGUGAAUACCCAACACUGAGUCACAUGGCAGCAUAUAUCUUGGCGGUUCCUGCCUCUGCAGUGGCAUCCGAGUCCGCCUUCAGCAUAGGGAAGAGAGUCCUAUCAGAUUUUCAAAGUCGAAUGACCGCAACGACACUUGAAACUCUUGUUUGCUAA